RNAcentral lists this ribosomal RNA (374 nucleotides) under uncultured organism. Its description in RNAcentral is "bacterial SSU rRNA". It matches the Rfam family "Bacterial small subunit ribosomal RNA", at positions 526 to 896 of the family's 1533-position model. The record is from RNAcentral.
CGUAGGAGGCGAGCGUUGUCCGGAUUCAGUUGGGCGUAAAGAGCACGCAGGCGGUUUGGCAAGUCGGAUGUGAAAACCAGAAGCUCAACUUCUGGCCUGCAUCCGAUACUGCCCGACUAGAGGUAGGUAGGGGAGAUCGGAAUUCCUGGUGUAGCGGUGAAAUGCGCAGAUAUCAGGAGGAACACCGGUGGCGAAGGCGGAUCUCUGGGCCUUACCUGACGCUCAGGUGCGAAAGCUAGGGGAGCGAACAGGAUUAGAUACCCUGGUAGUCCUAGCCGUAAACGUUGGGUGCUAGGUGUGGGCGGUCAUCAACCCCGUCCGUGCCGAAGCUAACGCAUUAAGCACCCCGCCUGGGGAGUACGGCCGCAAGGCUA